Molecule: ribosomal RNA, 253 nt
Filed under: uncultured bacterium
Lineage: Bacteria
Description: partial 16S ribosomal RNA
Rfam family: Bacterial small subunit ribosomal RNA
Source: RNAcentral
UACGUAGGGACCGAGCGUUGUCCGGAAUCAUUGGGCGUAAAGAGCGUGUAGGCGGCCUUUUAAGUCCUGCGUGAAAUCCUGCGGCUCAACCGCAGACGGUCGUGGGAAACUGAAAGGCUAGAGUGCGGGAGAGGAGAGUGGAAUUCCCGGUGUAGCGGUGAAAUGCGCAGAUAUCGGGAAGAACACCCGUGGCGAAGGCGGCUCUCUGGAACGCAACUGACGCUGAGACGCGAAAGCGUGGGGAGCAAACAGG